RNAcentral lists this unclassified non-coding RNA (212 nucleotides) under uncultured fungus. Its description in RNAcentral is "sequence contains ITS1". Lineage: Eukaryota; Fungi. The record is from RNAcentral.
GUAUUUUCUUAUGAAGGUUGACAUUCAAGACAUGCGGUUGAGUGUGAAGACGAGAGGAGAGGGCGGCACGGAGCCCCCCUCGCCAACCGAAAGGUGCACAGGUGUGGAUGGCGGAGCCGGCGUGCAGCCCGAGGGCGCACAGCCGGCAGAGCCGUGAGGACGGGAACAAACCCGAUUCACUAAUGAUCCUUCCGCAGGUUCACCUACGGAAA